Molecule: long non-coding RNA, 568 nt
Organism: Medicago truncatula (barrel medic)
Lineage: Eukaryota; Viridiplantae; Streptophyta; Magnoliopsida; Fabales; Fabaceae
Exons: 2
Source: RefSeq, a predicted model, not a curated record
AUGAGUAAAAGGGAGGUUUAAGUGAAGUAAUUGUGUGGUGUUUUCUUUAUGAUGAAUAAAUAGAGACCAAGCUCAAGAAUAUAAAUAGAUAGUAGCGUGUUGCGAAACUAGGGUUAGAAAUCAUUUGAGACAUUUUGGAAAAGAGGCAAGAGAUACAGAAAGGGAGAGAAUAAGAAUAAGAGAACCAGAAAGAAAGAAGAUGAGAACUUAAGGAAUCAAGAGGAGAGGGAGACCUAAGCUAGAUGAAAACUAAUUUUGAAGAGCUAAGAGACUUUCAGGAUGAGGACAUUUGAUUGCCGUGAGUUUUUCGAGGAUGGCCAUGGAGCCUACUCGUGUUUUACCACUUUCCUUUUGAGUCUUAUCUAGUGGUUCUCUGACUAGGAUAGUUUGGGGAUUGUUAUGUUCUUAUUGGAUUAUGUAUGGAACAAUAUCGUCCAUAGUUGAUGUAUCUUGAGAUAUGAUAUUUGACCUUAAAAUGUUUAUUUUUCCGCUGCGAAGUGUUAUUUACAUGAUAAACUAUGUAUGGAUGAAUCUAAUGAAGAUUAUCACCUUGAAGUUAUUUGAUUAA